GCCGGGCACGGUGGUGCAUGCCUGUAAUCCCAGCAGCUUGGGAGGCUGAGGCAGGAGGAUCUCGAGUUCAAAGCCAGCCUCAGCAAAAAGUGAGGUCCUAAGCAAAUCAGUGAGACCUUGUCUCUA
This 126-nucleotide small RNA is filed under the name Marmota monax (woodchuck). Lineage: Eukaryota; Metazoa; Chordata; Mammalia; Rodentia; Sciuridae. The record is from RNAcentral.